UACGGAGGAUGCAAGCGUUAUCCGGAAUCAUUGGGCGUAAAGCGUCCGCAGGUGGCUCUUCAAGUCUGCCGUCAAAACUCAGGGCUUAACCCUGAACAGGCGGUGGAAACUGAAAAGCUAGAGUGCGGUAGGGGUAGAGGGAAUUCCCGGUGUAGCGGUGAAAUGCGUAGAGAUCGGGAAGAACACCAGUGGCGAAAGCGCUCUGCUGGACCUGCACUGACACUGAGGGACGAAAGCUAGGGGAGCGAAUGGG
This 253-nucleotide ribosomal RNA is filed under the name uncultured bacterium. Its description in RNAcentral is "partial 16S ribosomal RNA". It matches the Rfam family "Bacterial small subunit ribosomal RNA", at positions 524 to 776 of the family's 1533-position model. The record is from RNAcentral.